This 599-nucleotide unclassified non-coding RNA is filed under the name Yarrowia lipolytica. Lineage: Eukaryota; Fungi; Ascomycota; Dipodascomycetes; Dipodascales. The record is from RNAcentral.
GGAAUGCACCUUACUACGCUUCAGAUAUGAUAGCCCAGGCCAUAGUCUUCAUGAUACUAUUUGGCAUGGUGGGCAUGGUGAUGGUUCAGGUGGUUCUGGUUCUGUUUCUGGGCCUGACACUCGCCUCCAUGCAACUCUUCCUGAGACGGGCAGUCUCUCCAAACGACAAAAACAAGGCCAAUCUAGAGAAGACUGGAUCUAAGGGUGAGAGUUCGAGCGCCAAACGAUGAGGCGGCAGAACAUGAAGCAGACAAAUGACCCGAGAGUAUUAUGUGGAGGAGAUUGGAAGGUCCAAGAACGCGCGACUUUUAGGUGUGGACCGAUUAAAGCCUUUGCGGAAGGAUACAGACGUUCUGUAUCUCUACGGGCCUCGGUCUCACCUCAUGUCGCGUGCUAAUUAAACCCUCUUGAUUCUAAGCGACCCCCUUUUCUUCACUCCUGGAAAGUACUUGCACCUAUAAGUCUUCUCCUUAUGGUAUCUCCAUGCUUUCCCCUGUACAAUUACACCUGAACUUUUGCAAUAAAGACAUUCAACACAAUGCGACGACAUUUGAAUACUGAAAUAUUUUAUAUAUAUAGCCCUUAAUACAUUUGACCAU